This 1398-nucleotide long non-coding RNA is filed under the name Homo sapiens (human). RNAcentral describes it as "HSALNT0306435". The record is from RNAcentral. Lineage: Eukaryota; Metazoa; Chordata; Mammalia; Primates; Hominidae.
CAAAUGAUCCACCUGCCUUGGCCUCUCGAAGUGCUGGGAUUGCAGGCAUGAGCCACCACGCCUGGCCUUCCUGGGACACCUUUACAGUGGGAAGCAAACAUUCACCAGAGCUGGGAGAAAAAAGCAUGCAAGAAUUGGAAUGAAGAGAUGCACUGGGCUGCUUCUGGACAAGCUGUCUGUCUAGGCAAGAGUCAGCAAAGUGGAUUGCCUUGCAUCAUGGCCAGGGUGUGUGCAUUCAACUUUGGCAGUCUUGGCCUGAGUGACAGAAUACUGGAAGGUCCUAAUAAGCUUCUCCAAUGAGCAUAGGCAGUGAUGGAACCAAACCAUCAAAAUGAGCUCUUCAAAGAAGAACCCAGGUUUUCCUCUUCAGCUGCAUAUGAUCAAUUCUAAUUAAAUGGUAAAGGAAAGAAGAAUAGAAGGAAAGAAUUCUUGAAAAUCUGGUAACUAACAUGGAAGCUGUGCUUUAUAUCAGGUUAUGUGAGUAAUCUUGAUCUGUCUACAAGCUCAAAGUUUCUAUCCAAAUAUAUUUAUCUGGAUCCGAGGCAGGAUCACUGCCAGGCUCUGUCACCUGCUCAGGAGAGUCACCUACCCAGUAUACAAGGGGAUAACCACAGGGCACACCGAAGCCAUUGCAGAACUUCCCAAGCUUGGGUCAGGCCUCCUGACUCUACACACGCACGUGUACUCCACCCAUUCCCAGCCUCCCAGCUUUCUUGACAAGUACCCAAGGAGGAUGGUUCUUGUCAACUCAUUGAUAAGGUCAUGGUAUUGUGGAGCAGGAGCUAACCUGUGUUCUAUUUUCAGCUCUCUUGUUAGCUGUGUGAGCUUGGGCAAGUGCCUCACCUUCUCUGAACCUGAGUUUUUGCAUCUGUUUAGGCCAUGAUAUUACCCUGCCUACCCCACAGUGUUAUCACGAAAUUCACAUGAACACACAUAUGAAGGUGCUUUGCAAACACUGUACAAGUGAAAUUGUAAGGUAUCCUGACUCAUGUGCUAAGGCCUUUUCAAGGCACAAGGACAAAUGUUUCCCAGGGAUCCUAUAGUUAGCCACUCUGAGGCAUUUUCCCUUAGGAGCCCAGCCCUGAGGGAAACUGGCUCAUGGCAGAUUUUUAAUCCGAACCCAGAGCUCUGGAGGCUUUAUAAUCCUAAAGACUAAACCAGGUGAACAACAAAAACAUCCAUAAAGCAAUUUGGGUAAAUUUCCAUGCUUCCAGGUAAUGCCUAGGUUUCUAAGGGGUUGCAUUUGUUUGUUCAGUCAUUCAAGAAUUUAUAGAUCAUCUUAACUCUGAGAUAAAGUGAAAAAAAGAGCUCAUGUUCCAGCAGAUGAGAAAGACAUGGAAACAGUCAUUGCAAGACACUGACAGGAGCCACAAACCAGGAGGACCAGGAAGAUAUCUG